This 2649-nucleotide ribosomal RNA is filed under the name Triticum aestivum (bread wheat). RNAcentral's name for it is "partial small subunit ribosomal RNA". The record is from RNAcentral. Lineage: Eukaryota; Viridiplantae; Streptophyta; Magnoliopsida; Poales; Poaceae.
AAAGAGGCAUUAUUUUCAUUCGAGGACGUGCCUUCCUCUUUGCCUCCUGCUGUCACUAACAUUUUGCAGGAGUUCGCUGACGUCUUUCCACAAGACGUGCCAGCGGGAUUACCGCCUAUUCGAGGGAUUGAGCAUCAGAUUGACUUAAUUCCCGGUGCUUCACUGCCAAACCGUGCACCAUACCGUACCAAUCCAGAGGAGACGAAGGAGAUUAUGCGCCAAGUACAAGAGCUUCUCGACAAAGGUUAUAUACGCGAAUCCCUUAGUCCUUGUGCUGUUCCUAUUAUUCUAGUGCCGAAAAAGGAUGGUACAUCACGUAUGUGUGUUGAUUGUAGAGGCAUUAAUAAUAUUACUAUUCGUUAUCGUCAUCCUAUUCCUAGGCUAGAUGAUAUGCUUGAUGAAUUGAGUGGCUCUACAAUAUUCUCCAAAGUUGAUUUGCGUAGUGGCUACCAUCAAAUUCGUAUGAAAUUGGGAGAUGAAUGGAAAACAACAUUUAAAACUAAGUUUGGAUUAUAUGAGUGGUUAGUCAUGCCUUUUGGGUUAACUAAUGCACCUAGUACUUUCAUGAGAUUAAUGAACGAAGUUUUACGUGCUUUCAUUGGACGAUUUGUGGUAGUUUACUUCGAUGACAUACUGAUUUAUAGCAGAUCUUUGGAAGAACAUUUGGAACAUUUACGUGCUGUUUUUAUUGCUCUACGUGAUGCACGUUUGUUUGGUAACCUUGGGAAGUGCACCUUUUGCACCGACCGAGUAUCUUUUCUUGGCUAUGUUGUUACUCCACAGGGAAUUGAAGUUGACAAAGCCAAGAUUGAAGCUAUUGAGAGUUGGCCGCAGCCCAAAACGGUCACACAAGUGAGGAGUUUUCUUGGCCUCGCUGGAUUCUAUAGGCGUUUUGUGAGAGAUUUCAGCACCAUUGCUGCACCUCUAAACGAGCUUACAAAGAAGGAUGUGCCUUUUGUUUGGGGUACCGCACAGGAAGAAGCCUUCACGGUAUUGAAAGAUAAGUUGACACAUGCUCCUUUACUCCAACUUCCUGAUUUUAAUAAGACUUUUGAGCUUGAAUGUGAUGCUAGUGGAAUUGGAUUAGGAGGUGUGUUAUUACAAGAUGGCAAACCUGUUGCAUACUUUUCUGAAAAAUUGAGUGGGCCUAGUCUGAAUUAUUCUACUUAUGAUAAAGAAUUAUAUGCUCUUGUUCGGACUUUAGAAACAUGGCAACAUUAUUUAUGGCCCAAAGAAUUUGUUAUACAUUCUGAUCAUGAAUCUUUGAAACAUAUUAAAAGUCAAGCUAAACUGAAUCGUAGACAUGCUAAAUGGGUUGAAUUCAUUGAGACUUUCCCUUAUGUCAUUAAACACAAGAAGGGAAAAGAAAAUGUUAUUGCUGAUGCAUUGUCUCGCCGCUAUACUAUGCUUUCACAACUUGACUUCAAAAUAUUUGGUUUGGAGACCAUCAAAGAUCAAUAUGUGCAUGAUGCUGAUUUUAAAGAUGUAAUGCAGAAUUGUAAAGAAGGAAGAAUGUGGAACAAGUUUGUCGUUAACGAUGGAUUUGUGUUUCGUGCUAACAAGCUAUGCAUUCCAGCUAGCUCCGUUCGUCUUUUGUUGUUGCAGGAGGCGCAUGGAGGAGGAUUAAUGGGACACUCUGGCGUGAAGAAGACGGAGGACGUACUUGCUACACAUUUCUUUUGGCCAAAGAUGAGACGGGAUGUUGAGCGUUUUAUUGCUCGAUGCACUACAUGUCAAAAAGCUAAGUCACGACUCAAUCCUCAUGGUUUAUAUAUGCCUUUGCCUGUACCUAGUGUUCCUUGGGAGGAUAUAUCAAUGGACUUUGUUUUAGGUUUACCUCGAACAAAGAAGGGGAGGGAUAGCAUAUUUGUUGUCGUGGAUAGAUUCUCGAAGAUGGCACACUUUAUACCAUGUCAUAAAAGCGAUGAUGCUGUUAAUGUUGCUGAUUUGUUCUUUCGUGAAAUUAUUCGCUUGCAUGGUGUGCCAAAUACUAUUGUUUCAGAUCGUGAUACUAAAUUUCUUAGCCACUUUUGGAGAUGUUUAUGGGCUAAGUUGGGGACUAAACUGCUUUUUAGUACUACUUGUCACCCCCAAACUGAUGGACAAACUGAAGUAGUCAAUAGAACGUUGUCUACUAUGCUUAGGGCUGUUUUGAAGAAUAAUAAGAAAAUGUGGGAGGAAUGCUUGCCUCAUAUUGAAUUUGCUUAUAAUCGUUCAUUGCAUUCUACUACUAAGAUGUGCCCUUUUGAAGUUGUGUAUGGUUUCCUACCUCGUGCACCUAUUGAUUUGUUGCCUCUUCCAUCUUCGGAGAAGGUUAAUUUUGAUGCUAAACAACGUGCUGAAUUGAUUUUAAAAAUGCAUGAGUUAACUAAGGAAAACAUUGAGCGUAUGAAUGCUAAAUAUAAACUUGCUGGAGAUAAGGGUAGAAAACAUGUUGUGUUUGCACCUGGAGAUCUUGUUUGGUUACAUUUGCGUAAGGAUAGAUUUCCUGAUUUGCGUAAAUCAAAGUUAAUGCCACGUGCUGAUGGUCCCUUUAAGGUGUUAGAGAAAAUAAAUGAUAAUACAUAUAAACUUGAGCUGCCUGCAGAUUUUGGGGUUAGUCCCACUUUUAACAUUGCAGAUUUGAAGCCUUAUUUGGGUGAGGAAGAU